GACGAACGCUGGCGGCGUGCUUAACACAUGCAAGUCGAACGGAAAGGCCCUGCUUUUGUGGGGUUCUCGAUUGGCGAACGGGUGAGUAACACGUGAGUAACCUGCCCUUGACUUUGGGAUAACUUCAGGAAACUGGGGCUAAUACCGGAUAGGAGCUCCUGCUGCAUGGUGGGGGUGGGAAAGUUUCGGCGGUUGGGGAUGGACUGGCGGCUUAUCGGCUUGUUGGUGGGGUAGUGGCUUACCAAGGCUUUGACGGGUAGCCGGCCUGAGAGGGUGACCGGCCACAUUGGGACUGAGAGACGGCCCAGACGCCUACGGUAGGCAGCAGUGGGGAAUAUUGCACAAUGGGCGGAAGCCUGAUGCAGCAACGCCGCGUGCGGGAUGACCGCCUUCGGGUUGUAAACCGCUUUCGCCUGUGACGAAGCGUGAGUGACGGUAAUGGGUAAAGAAGCAACGGCUAACUACGUG
Molecule: ribosomal RNA, 468 nt
Filed under: uncultured bacterium
Lineage: Bacteria
Description: partial 16S ribosomal RNA
Rfam family: Bacterial small subunit ribosomal RNA
Source: RNAcentral